AAGCACACAGAUCCCUUCUGAAAGACUUUCCAGGCUCUAAUUUGCUACUGGUUUUAACUUUCUAGUAUUUUAUGGAUUCCAGAAUUUAAUUAGACUUGUAUAUGGUAGAAUUAGUCUACCACUUACCAUUAGUCUGAGAGCUUUUCCAGAAGCUGGAAAGUUCUAUUCCAGAGUCUUAAUACAUGCAAGAUUUUGGUCUCAGUCUCGCUUCCUGCUUAUUACAAGAAAAAUAACAUUUCAUUUUUUCUUAUCAGUACAAUUCACUAUUUUACCUAUUGUGUCUCUUAUAUUCUUUGACGUGACUUUCUCCUGUAACUAUUCUUACUCUAAACUUUUUGUUAUUGAGCACAAUGCUUUAUUCAGUCCACUCUCUUUCCAUGUUAUUUCAUUGUCUGGUUGUUUUGUGAGGAAUGGUAAAUGUGAAAAACUGUUCAUUAAAAUAAUCUUUUCAGUUCCUACAUGCUUCACUUCUACAGAUACACACACACACACACACAUAAAUACAGAGACAUGCAUUGUACUUGCACUUAUCAAGAUAAAAAACCCCAAAACUUUCAUAAAUCUGCUCUAUCCCUACAUAGAAAUGUUAAGGUGUCUUUUCUUAAUGAAAACUAAGGGUAGGGAAGAGAAGUGAGAAAGGGAACAAAAAGGGACUUUUUACAAAUUUCAAUAUUUUCCUAUUGAGCAAAAAACAAAAAGGGUUUCAGACAGUGAAAGACUCGAACAAGCAGCCAAAAUUACUGAUGUCACACUGCUUUUCCUUGUUGAAACUAAAGUAUCGAUCUUUAACCUUUCAUUUCACAAAUAACUGACUUAACUGUAACCUUUUGAACUGUUCUGGAAAUGGUUGUCUACCAAUUUAAUCCAGUAAAAUAAUUUGAAUAGCUAACUAGCUAACAGAAUGGAACCAAGCCUGUAAGUGGGGUUAGGAUACUUGCCUGUUGCACAGGAUGACUGGAAGCUUCUGAUUAUGAUUCCAUCUUUGCCUUUUUCUCCAGUUUAUUGAUUAUUGUGUACUUGGGAAAAACAUGCUGAGGUCUUUAAAGCACAUGUGCUGAGGUGUUCCUCUGACUUACCCUUUUUAAAAGUCCAUUUCUAGUGACAUUUUAUGGAAAGCAAGCUCCUAAGGCUAAAUUACUAUCUCUGUUGCUGUUUCUUAACAUCAUAUUCAUUUUAAAUCUAAAUAAGCGUAUCUGAGUAUUUGAUGAAAUUAUCAUUGAAACGGCAUGUUCCUUAAACCAAAUAAAUCUGCAUUUUCAGAUAAAAAUAUUCCAUUGGAAAAACCCCAAAUCACUUUUAUUGUCAAUACAUCCUGUUUUCCUGUUUUAUUUUAGAACACCUAAAAAUCCAACACAUUGCACUCUGUAUUUUGCACACUCAAGAGCUAUCCCUGUGUUCAUGAGCCAAUAUUUUCAUGUCUUUUUAUCUGUAGUAUAGGCAUUUUAAUAACUAUAAUAUAGAAUAACCUUCAAGUAUAGCAUCCAGAUUGAACAUACUGUGGUAUAAUACUGCAAGAAAUGUCAUUGCAGCAAUGGUCCUAAUACAAUUCGGAUGUAAUGCAUUGAUUGAAAAAACUGAAUAUGUGUUCAUGGAAGUGAUUGUUGAUGACUCGAACUCAUAUCAUCACCAGGCAGAUGCUGAGUUAUGUGGAAGCUAGACAGUUGCAUGAAGGUAUGAGCUGUCUGUGGCAUAGCACCUCGCCUAUGUAGGAUUUUCUCAACAUUCAGUUACACUGGACAGUAGGGGUGAUACAUUAGGAUCGGGUGAUGGCAGAAAUGCCUCUUUCAGUAAGAGCUAGUUUCCCAUUUUUCAAUCUUUGGACUGUUAUCUCACUUAACACAAAAUUCCACUGGUUUGCAGAAGUUAGGUGAUACUUGACAUGAAUAAACUGGUAAGAUUGUGUCUGCUAUGAAUUUUGAAAAAAAAAUCUACAGUCAUCCAUUUACUUUGGAAUAAAUCUGAGUCCUUAUGGUCAUAUGCAGAAUUAAUACAUAAUUGGUUAGAAGCAUCCUUCUUUAGCUUAUCAUCAAGCCAUCUAUCAUGUAAACUCAACUGGAUAUGGGGAGAUGGACAGAGGUUCUCCCCAUCCCUGCUGCUGCCUUUAUGGAGAGUCCCUGUAGAACAAGAUCCCUGGGGUGCUCCAUUAGCUUAAAACAUACUGCAUAGCUCUUUUUUUUUUCCUGUUCCUGUUUUUCUUUUGUUUUCCAGCCAAAAAUCUUCAGAAGCUUUUAAACAACAAUGAGGCCAGAAGAGAUUGUUGUCUAAAUUUAAAGAGAAUAAAAGUCAACAGAGAGCCUCCUGCACACAUGAUUUAUUUCAUUCUCUAUUUCUUGCAUUAAGCCAAUUACUUAAUGGACAGAAAGUUAUUUUACAAUCCUUCAGAGUGUGAGGCAGAUUACAGAAAAAUUUCCCUAAGCAAUGGAAAACAAUGUAUAAAUAAUAAGAACCUAAUCAUUUCCUUUAAUGAAAAACUGCUCACAAGGGAGAAAAGAUACGCAUGCAUAUGCACUAAAAUUAAGUCAUCCUACUUACAUGCUCAUGUCCCCAUCAAGCAUGCUCUUCAAGCACCAUUCUGAAGCUCAAAUGCUGCUAUGCCUCGUGACCCAAGACAUAUGUAGGGAGAAGACAGUGCUGUACUCGUGUCAGCUCAUUUUGGCAGCUCUCCUGACUACAGAAAACAGGAGGUAGCUUUAUCAUUCUAUUUCUGUUUUGACAAAUUCCACAGAAGCCAGAUAUUUCUUCCCUCACCAAUCCCCGCCAAAAAUACCCCCAAAAAACCAACCAACCAACCAACCAAAAAAAAAAAAACAAACCAAAAACACAAAAAGAAAAACCCACUAAAAAAACCCUCCAAAAAAAAAAA
RNAcentral lists this long non-coding RNA (2863 nucleotides) under Taeniopygia guttata (zebra finch). RNAcentral's name for it is "lncRNA (ENSTGUG00000023403.1)". Lineage: Eukaryota; Metazoa; Chordata; Aves; Passeriformes; Estrildidae. The record is from RNAcentral.